GACGAACGCGGCGGCGUGCCUAAUACAUGCAAGUAGAACGCUGAAGGAGGAGCUUGCUCUUCUGGAUGAGUUGCGAACGGGUGAGUAACGCGUAGGUAACCUGCCUGGUAGCGGGGGAUAACUAUUGGAAACGAUAGCUAAUACCGCAUAACAUUGACUAUUGCAUGAUAGUCAAUUGAAAGGUGCAAAUGCACCACUACCAGAUGGACCUGCGUUGUAUUAGCUAGUUGGUGGGGUAACGGCUCACCAAGGCGACGAUACAUAGCCGACCUGAGAGGGUGAUCGGCCACACUGGGACUGAGACACGGCCCAGACUCCUAUGGGAGGCAGCAGUAGGGAAUCUUCGGCAAUGGACGGAAGUCUGACCGAGCAACGCCGCGUGAGUGAAGAAGGUUUUCGGAUCGUAAAGCUCUGUUGUAAGAGAAGAACGAGUGUGAGAGUGGAAAGUUCACACUGUGACGGUAUCUACCAGAAAAGGAC
Molecule: ribosomal RNA, 480 nt
Filed under: Streptococcus cristatus
Lineage: Bacteria; Bacillati; Bacillota; Bacilli; Lactobacillales; Streptococcaceae
Description: bacterial SSU rRNA
Rfam family: Bacterial small subunit ribosomal RNA
Source: RNAcentral